This is a long non-coding RNA of Branchiostoma belcheri (Belcher's lancelet), 418 nucleotides long. RefSeq lists it as uncharacterized. The record is from RefSeq and is a predicted model, not a curated record. Lineage: Eukaryota; Metazoa; Chordata; Leptocardii; Amphioxiformes; Branchiostomatidae. The transcript has 2 exons.
GCCUCGCCACCGAAUAGCCUUCCCAGACAGGACGUACACAAGUGCCGCCAGAAAGUAGUACGUGACAAGGACGAAACGUCUAGUUAAAAGUGUUAGCUUUUAAACUAUCCAGAUUUUGCUACAUCUGUGCAGAUAAAAACUUUAAUUGUGCUUGUGUCAUUAUACAUAUCGUAACAGCUUAACAGUCCCGUCGCGGAUGGAUAUAGACCGAAUUUCUCGUCGCACGACCGCACCCAGGUUCAGUUUGAGAAGAAGGGCGGUGGUGUGAGCUACUGAGAUGAACAUCAAACACCGUGGAUCAGCUGUGAGAUGAGGACCAUCCACAUAGAACACAGCUGUGUCCACGCAAGACAUGAAAUACCAUUAGAAACCGCAUAUUUCUGCAGCAAAGCGCGCUUUUUAAUAUCUGACCUGCGCU